GCCCCUAAUUCAUAAACUGUUGUAGCCUCAACUCCAAAAAUCAAUCCCAACCUUCCUUUUGUGGUCAUAAACCUUGUGUUAAAAUUUCAUUGAUUUCUAUUUACUUAUACUAAAGUUAUUGUGCGAAAACCAAGAAUAAUGCUUAUUUGGGGGCCCUUUUUUGGCCCUUAAUUCCUAAACUGUUGGAACCAAAACUCCCAAAAUCAAUCCCAACCUUCCUUUCGUGGUCAUAAACCUUGUGUCAAAAUUUCAUAGAUUUCUAUUAACUUAAACUAAAAGUUAUAGUGCGAAAACCAAGAAAAUGCUUAUUUGGGCCCUUUUUGGCCCCUAAUUCCUAAAAUGUUGGGACCAAAAACUCCCAAAAUCAAUACCAACCUUCCUUUUGUGGUCAUAAACCUUGUGUUAAAAUUUCAUAGAUUUCCAUUCACUUUUACUAAAGUUAGAGUGCGAAAACUAAAAGUAUUCGGACGACGACGACGACGACGCGCCGACGCCAACGUGAUAGCAAUAUACGACGAAAAAUUUUUCAAAUUUUGCGGUCGUAUAAAAACAGCAAAAUUUCCUUAAAAUUACCAAUUCAGGG
Molecule: long non-coding RNA, 583 nt
Filed under: Mytilus galloprovincialis (Mediterranean mussel)
Lineage: Eukaryota; Metazoa; Mollusca; Bivalvia; Mytilida; Mytilidae
Source: RNAcentral